Molecule: ribosomal RNA, 397 nt
Filed under: Promicromonosporaceae bacterium
Lineage: Bacteria; Bacillati; Actinomycetota; Actinomycetes; Micrococcales; Promicromonosporaceae
Description: bacterial SSU rRNA
Rfam family: Bacterial small subunit ribosomal RNA
Source: RNAcentral
AGUGGCGAACGGGUGAGUAACACGUGAGCAACCUGCCCUCCACUUCGGGAUAAGCCUUGGAAACGGGGUCUAAUACCGGAUAUGAGCCUUGCCUGCAUGGGUGGGGUUGGAAAGUUUUUCGGUGGGGGAUGGGCUCGCGGCCUAUCAGCUUGUUGGUGGGGUGAUGGCCUACCAAGGCUUCGACGGGUAGCCGGCCUGAGAGGGCGACCGGCCACACUGGGACUGAGACACGGCCCAGACUCCUACGGGAGGCAGCAGUGGGGAAUAUUGCACAAUGGGCGAAAGCCUGAUGCAGCGACGCCGCGUGAGGGAUGACGGCCUUCGGGUUGUAAACCUCUUUCAGCAGGGAAGAAGCGCAAGUGACGGUACCUGCAGAAGAAGCGCCGGCUAACUACGU